This 253-nucleotide ribosomal RNA is filed under the name uncultured prokaryote. Its description in RNAcentral is "partial 16S ribosomal RNA". It matches the Rfam family "Bacterial small subunit ribosomal RNA", at positions 524 to 776 of the family's 1533-position model. The record is from RNAcentral.
UACGUAGGCAGCAAGCGUUGUUCGGAGUUACUGGGCGUAAAGAGUGCGUAGGUGGUUCUUUAAGUUCGGUGUGAAAUCUCCCGGCUUAACUGGGAGGGUGCGCCGGAAACUGGAGAGCUCGAGUGUGGGAGAGGAAAGCGGAAUUCCUGGUGUAGCGGUGAAAUGCGUAGAUAUCGGGAGGAACACCAGUGGCGAAGGCGGCUCUCUGGACCGAUACUGACGCUAAGGCGCGAAAGCGUGGGGAGCAAACAGG